Peromyscus leucopus (white-footed mouse) is the source of this 1887-nucleotide long non-coding RNA. RefSeq lists it as uncharacterized. The record is from RefSeq and is a predicted model, not a curated record. The transcript has 5 exons. Lineage: Eukaryota; Metazoa; Chordata; Mammalia; Rodentia; Cricetidae.
ACUUUUAUGUUGAUGACUGAUGAUACAAAAAAAAAAAAAAUCCGUCUCUUUCCCAUAUUUUAACUGUCAUGUUUCUAAAAGAAUGGAAAACUUCGUAUGUUCAGUAAAACACGGUUCUUUAUAACACACCGUUGUCUGGAGUCUGAGGUCGAGUACUUCAGGCAUGUUCAUUGAUGCUGAAUGGAACGACAGAAUGUGUGGGCCAAAGUGCAAGUGUGUUCAGGCUGCAGUGAAAUCAUGUGAUGCACCGUGGGUGAGCCUGCCAGAAGCAGCUCGGCUUCUUCCUGCUUUUGUUUGGAAGUAAGUGUUGACUCUCGUACAUUUCAAAACCCUUUUACUUUUGCCAACCAUUUUGCAUCCUCAUAUUUAGUUCUACGAUCUAUCACAGUUUGAGAAGCUGGAGUCUCAAAGACUGGUCAGAGUUUCAUCUCUCUGCUUUGGAAGGCUCGAAGCAAAUGGGAAGUGAGGUGUAGAGGCCUGACCUUCACAUGACUAUGGUACGAAGAUGCCCUCCAGCAGGCUGUGCUUGCAGACCAUAUGGAGCCUCACUUGGGGAAUUUUCCCAACCCUGUGGAUUUACAGUAAGAUGAAGUUGCCUGUGGAGUAAUGCUGGUGGAUGCAGCUUCUGGAAUAACACACCUGGCUUGCCUUGGGAUGCUGCAAGUGGCCUAACGUUUCCCACAUAAUGCCCACUGGGGACAAGGACCAUAGCUGAGAAGACUGUAUCUCUACCCUUGACUCCAUGAGAAUAUUUGCUCUGAGCUCUCGGGCAUCCUGGAGCUCCCUCUAAAAUAUGACACCAUCCUACUGCAAUAUCAAAGGGUUGGACAGCUCCGUAGAAUUUAGACCACCUGUCUUCUGAAAACAGGAAGAUGUGCAAAGAUUGACAGCUGUGGACCAGGGAAGAAGCCCAAUGCUGUAUGGGAUUGAUCACUGCUUCAUGCUCAAUGCUGGUUCACACAGACCUUUUUUGGGGAGAGCAAAUACAUUCCAAUAUUACGCCUGUGCUCAGGAACUUCUUGGCAUACCUGUUAAGCAUUCCAGAAGGAUUUGAGAAUGAUCAAAUAAAGCUGGAGUAUUUGGCGAUUUGGAAAAUUGAGGUAGGUAAGGGAUGGUCUCUUUCUGAGCCUCAUGGAAACAAAAUUUAAUUUUCAGAAUGGACAGUCUCUAUCGCUGGAUUUAGGGUAUAUUUUAUAGUGUUCUUUAUGGAUCUUUCUGUGGCAAUUCAAAGCACUUGGGAAACUGACUUCCCAUUCUUCCAUAUCCUGGCUCUCUUUCUCAGCAUUUCUUCCAUUCACUUGACCAUAGUGCCUAACAUGUGCUCCCUGCUCCUACCAGGAGAACCCAUUGUUUCCUAGGAGAAUCAGUGUUGAUUUGCUAUGGAUGACUGCCCUGAGAGAGGACCAGAAAGUGGAAAAGGGUCCUAUAGUGAGGUUAGAACACAUUUGGGACACCCCAGACUGUCAAAUCUUUCAUUUUGCCUAGCACAUUCUGUGUUUUCUCCUCUACCUCCAUCAUGUGUUGGAGUCACACUAAGUCUGUGGCUACCCUGAUGAGGGGAAGACCUAAAGCUUUCUGCAAACCUAGGUUUUCCGUUCUACUUGUCUGUGCUCCAUGGAGUCUUGCUGAGCCUAGAGUGUUAUCUGGUAGAACUAUGUAUUGCAUGAGUUUCUUCCAACUCAGGUGUUGUGGAUGUUGAAUGAAAAGGAAGAGGGACCAAGCUUAGUGAGCCAUAUGAUAUGCCAGAGGAUAUGCCUCAGAAACAGAAGAGGGAUUUUUCUUGAUUAAUGACUUACAAUUUAUCAAUGACAGCAGGUAGGGUGUGCUGUGGGAUGUCCUGUAUGCUGUGAAUAUUUGUUGCUCUGAUUGGCUGAUAAAUAAAGCUGC